This is a long non-coding RNA of Aedes albopictus (Asian tiger mosquito), 3539 nucleotides long. RefSeq lists it as uncharacterized. The record is from RefSeq and is a predicted model, not a curated record. The transcript has 2 exons. Lineage: Eukaryota; Metazoa; Arthropoda; Insecta; Diptera; Culicidae.
CUGAUCACUGUUUCUGAGCAGAUCUAGCUGCUGCAUAAGGUUCGUUUAAUCCUAGUUUCGGCGCUAUCUUUGGAGAACGCACGGUUCUCGCACUUUAGCAUUUAUUUGAGUUUUUUUUGUGAUCAGCUUAGUCUUCAACACACUUUUUAAGGAAGUGCAAGUUUGAUGAAUUUUUCGUGAAUCACUGUCGCGAUUCACGAAAAAUUCAGCCCACUCGGUAAGACUGUGUUACAUUCGUCAUAUGAUUCGUGAACUCCUACGUAUUUAAAGAACGAAUAGCUCCAAAUUAGAGUGUAAGUAGCUAAGUACGCAGCCAUUAAACCAUCAAACGCAAGAAAGAGAAUUUUGCGUCAAGAAAGCUCUCGCUGUCAAAUUGUCUUCGCCCUCGCUCACACAAUACGAUUCAACUUCCGCUUGCAAACAAGAGCCAGCAUAUCGAGCAGGAGUAGUCAGCCAUUCGCAAAAGUUGGUCGGUGCUAGGAGGACGACUCUGGUGCGGUGACAAAGUCAGCACGUGCACGCGGUGGCGGGUUUGUUUCCGACGAGGAAAUUGCAGUAUCGAGAAACCAGCAAAUUUUGGUGCAGUUUGCUGCGACCGAAAGAUCGCCCUCCAUAACUCUCUACACGUUGCCCUCUCGGAAAGAAGAAUACCGAUACAGCAGAAUACCAAGAACCGCGUCGUUGAACUUCGCGCAUCUCGUCAGGCACGCCGAAGGUAACAUCAGUGGAUUCAUGUGAUCACAACCCAUUAACCUGUAACUCACUCCCAACCACAGAGAACCUCCAGCGCACAAAUCACCUUGAUCAUCGCCCGAGGCGAAGCGAGUGGGGCGUAGAAAGUGCUCAGCAGCGCACCCAGCAACAGAAUCGUCAACCUGGUAAACUCUACCCACACUAUCCAACAUAGCGAAGGUAAAAUCAGUGUCUUCGAUCAUUACCCAUUAACCUAAGGAGCAUCUCCAAUCACAGACUCUGAGAACCUUCAUCGCACAAACCAUCUGGACCCUCGUCCGAGUCGAAGCGAGUAUCGCGCAGAGGAAUCCUGUAGCUUACCAUCACGGGGAUUGAAUCACUGGAUCUGCAGGAAGAUGCCUUCAUCAAGAAGUGAGUGUGCAAGCCGGGUGCAACUGAGACGUUCAGGAAACUAAUCGCGGGGGCGGUAGGGCUUUUUUCUCUCCCCUAGAAAACGCUCAUUCGUUCUGCCGUUGAUCGGUCUCUCCACCGUCGACGCGAGCUAUCCACCUCCCGACCCUGGAAGGAAGGUCCUAGAUUCGAGCAAGGACCCAAGAGCGGUGAUCCCAGCGAUCGACCAGCGGAAGCGCCCACCACACGGAGAGCCCUAGGGGCCCAACGCGCUCGAGGGUGUGUUUUCGGCGAGAUCGCCGCCAUUAGACGUUUCAUGCCGUUCAGUCAAGGCACCCAGCACGGUCAAGAGCGGCCGGUCAUGCACUGAGCAUGAUCAGCGGACAAGGCAAGGCAGGCAGCGACGGAGCAUCGCAAUCGUGUAAAAUACUGUAUGUACACUAGAAUUAAGAAAGUGCAAUAUUGGCAUGAAAUUAGGAGCUUUAGGGCCUAGAUAAGACGAAAUCGAAAAUAUAGGGUUGUAAGAUGAAUAUUGGUGUGUAUUAGUUGUGCCUCUAGCCCACAGUGUAUAUGGUACAGUUCCGUUGAUGCAGACUUUUGUUGAGGUUCAUUCGGAAUACGAGCAACACGUUUUUAGGUAUGUUGUUUUAAAACAACAUUGUGCUUUUAAGGGUUAAAUGAGGAUGAUUAUGGUGGCUAAAAAUGGCGAUACAACAUACAAACGUUAUUUUAUCAAAUUUCAACAAUUUUUCGGUUGUAUUAGCCCUUUUAGGUGGAUUAAUCAUCUUUUAAAAUUACCUAAGUUUUUAUUCGUCAUGGUUACAUUGUAUUUUAAGUAGGUUUACUAGAUAUGAUCAACAAAAUUAACUUAUAUUCUUAGACAGGCGAUUUCGAAUACUUUGACCCAUUCUCACCCCCUCGAAGGGGUGAAAUUGGGUCAAUUUUCAAUCAUUUGAAGAGUAUACAUACGAAAUAAAAAGUUAUUCCGACUUCUAUUGCAUUUGUUAUUUAACAAACAAUCUUUGAGUACCCUUUUUUGACCCAUUCUCACCCCUAACGACGGUAUUUCAUGUUAUUGUCCGCCUUUAUUCGAUUCUUGAAGUCAUUAUCAAGCUGAAAAAUAUUCAAAAUGCUUUCUUAUUGGGGCACACAUCUAGUACGCUACGUAACAUUCAUCAAUAAUAAUUUCUUUGUUAUUAACAUGGUUGUUCUAGCGUUAAAACAUUGUCACACAUAAUGGAAUUUACCUUCCUAUAUAAUGGUAACGUAAUUAGUGAGUGACCCCUUCUAAUUUUUGCUAAUGAUGUUUAUGAUUACUUUGGGGUGAUAAUAGUCUUGGUUUCAUAAGGAAAAUCCACACAAGAAGACGCAUUUACACAUUAUGUAAAGUGGGCGGAAAUUGGCUUCUUUAGCGGUGUUGAGAUAAUUCCAUAUUCUGAAUCUGCACGCCAAACUGAGCCGAAAUCCAAAUUUUCAUGAUUUUUGGAGCCCGAGAACCUAUUUAAAAAUCAAUUUGAAGUUUGUAUGGGAGCGAUUUGUCGAAUCACCCCUCGUCGGAUUUUGUACUGGGCGGAGCUGUCAGGUAGUUGCCCAGCUGUCAAAAGGUGAUUUGAAUAAAUCUUUUUGAAAUUGAUUUUAGGUAUCAAAACAAAGUUCUAAAAAUCUGAAAAAAAUCAUAGAGGCUUAGAAAAAAGUGCUCUUUCGUUUAAAAAUAUAAAAUUAUUAAUUUUUCCUAAAUUUAAAAACCCAAUUGGAACAUUCAUGAGCGAUAAUUGGAACACAGUGCUUUAUCGUGAGCGGCUAUUGGCACUUCUAGUGUCAACAAAAAACCUUAAGAAAAAAAAAUUUUUUUUUCAAUUUUUCACUAUUUCAUAGUUUUGCCUCAUAUUAAUAGUAGGGUAAUUUUCCAAUUGUUGAUCAGCUAAACAUUCGCCAAUUGCUGCACACCUCAUAAGAAUAACAUGGAGUGUGCAACAAUAGGCGAGUUUUUAGCCGUGCAACAAUUGGAAAAUUACCCUAAUGGAAGACAACGCAACAAAUGUCCGUAUCCAUGAUCUCCCGCCAGAUAUACCGAAUGAAGUAGUUGCAGAUUAUAUGAAACGAUAUGGCAAAGUGAAAUCUGUUGCAAGGAAACUCUGGAAGAAACAUUUUCCCGGUACCUAUACCAAAUGGCGUCCGUCUCUCUUUCUCUCUUCUAGGCGUGACGUCCUCACUGGGACAAAGCCUGCUUCUCAGCUUAGUGUUCAAUGAGCACUUCCACAGUUAUUAACUGAGAGCUUCCUCUGCCAAUGACCAUUUUGCAUGCGUAUAUCGUGUGGCAGGCACGAAGAUACUCUAUGCCCAAGGAAGUCAAGGAAAUUUCCUUUACGAAAGGAUCCUGGACCGGUUGACAGCCGCUAUUCGCAGCGUUCGGACGUACUCAGAAUUUCUUCCGUGCUUCGUAUCGGUUAAAAUGA